AUGGUGUAUCGUUCGAAACCCUGCAUUGACAUGGAGCACUCAGAAGCUUUGGGAGGUGAUGACUGCUUGUGUGAUCAUGCACACAUGAUCGUGGAGGAUGAGCGUGGUGAUAGCAUCUACGACCAAGGGUUUGAUUUCGAGGGUGAAAAUGUUGAGCCUGAGCAGCUACCUCCUGCAACUUUUCAACAGUUUGUCCAAUUUCAUCGUGAAAUGCGUGAUUGGCAGACUCAUGUGCAACUUCAGGAUGACUUGGUUGAGCACAUGUGGACUCAUAUUGGCAACAGUAGAUCUAUCGGUUUAAUUUUUUUUCAUGGAAACAAAUUUUGA
RNAcentral lists this ribosomal RNA (327 nucleotides) under Triticum aestivum (bread wheat). RNAcentral describes it as "partial small subunit ribosomal RNA". Lineage: Eukaryota; Viridiplantae; Streptophyta; Magnoliopsida; Poales; Poaceae. The record is from RNAcentral.